Molecule: ribosomal RNA, 253 nt
Filed under: uncultured bacterium
Lineage: Bacteria
Description: partial 16S ribosomal RNA
Rfam family: Bacterial small subunit ribosomal RNA
Source: RNAcentral
UACGUAGGGUGCGAGCGUUGUCCGGAAUUAUUGGGCGUAAAGGGCUCGUAGGCGGUUUGUCGCGUCGGGAGUGAAAACACUGGGCUUAACUCAGUGCUUGCUUUCGAUACGGGCAGACUAGAGGUAUGCAGGGGAGAACGGAAUUCCUGGUGUAGCGGUGAAAUGCGCAGAUAUCAGGAGGAACACCGGUGGCGAAGGCGGUUCUCUGGGCAUGAUCUGACGCUGAGGAGCGAAAGUGUGGGGAGCGAACAGG